Molecule: ribosomal RNA, 253 nt
Filed under: uncultured bacterium
Lineage: Bacteria
Description: partial 16S ribosomal RNA
Rfam family: Bacterial small subunit ribosomal RNA
Source: RNAcentral
UACGUAGGGGGCAAGCGUUGUCCGGAAUCAUUGGGCGUAAAGCGCGUGUAGGCGGCUUGGUAAGUCCGCUCUGAAAGCCCGGGGCUCAACCCCGGGAGGCGGGUGGAUACUGUCAAGCUCGAGUCCGGAAGAGGCGAGUGGAAUUCCUGGUGUAGCGGUGAAAUGCGUAGAUAUCUGGAGGAACACCGGUGGCGAAGGCGGCAUCCUGGACCGGUAUUGACGCUGAGGCGCGAAAGCCAGGGGAGCAAACGGG